GGAGAGGAGUGUUCUGAUGGUGCUUGAUUGGAGCUCCGACAAUUGUAGACGAUGACGGCUAGGGUUCAUUCAGGGAAGAAGAAAAAAAAAGAAAAAGAAAUUGGGAAGAAGUAAAAUAGGGAAAAUAGAAAGAAAGUAGAAAUAGUUUUUAAAAUAAUUUUAUUGAUUUUUAAUAUAUAAUUUUUAAAAAAAUAUACAAUCGUGAGCUCUCAUCCCAAUAUAUAUUUUAAUAGCGC
Molecule: long non-coding RNA, 236 nt
Filed under: Gossypium barbadense (sea-island cotton)
Lineage: Eukaryota; Viridiplantae; Streptophyta; Magnoliopsida; Malvales; Malvaceae
Description: long non-coding RNA (GBAR_LNC002540)
Source: RNAcentral